GACACAUAGCUUAAUUUAACAGCUUCUCAUCCUUCUUCUCUCCUUUCUAUAUUUGUACUAAACAUCAGUUAGUCUCUUUGAAUAUUCAUAUUGAGUUUACAUGCCCUUACUUUUCACAUUCAGCUUUCGAAUAAUUAUGUUCUGAAAACUGCAACAAAGGCAGCAAAAUCAUUUGCAAAUCUGAAGAGUCUUGUGUACUCUGUUACCUUGAGGCCGUAGUCCUUCAGUUCAUCGUUUCUGACGCUUUUCCACUGGCAGAAGGAGGAUGCCAGACUCUAGAAACAGAAAAAAUGAAAGAGAAAUGGGUGAAUACCAGGUUCAAUACACAAGACUUCAUCCUUUGUACACGGACAGACCCAUGCUCUUCCCUUAAGGAGAGCUCCUGACAACCCUGCAGCAAAUGUCCUACCUUACAAAGCGUUGGCCUCUCUUUAUCUAAGGCCUGGAAGAACUGCAAAGAAUUGGAAAGAUAUUCCCUGAAUUUGGUGGCCUAGGCAAGCUGAUGCAUGUCUGUAA
Long non-coding RNA from Cygnus atratus (black swan), 516 nucleotides. RefSeq lists it as uncharacterized. The record is from RefSeq and is a predicted model, not a curated record. Lineage: Eukaryota; Metazoa; Chordata; Aves; Anseriformes; Anatidae. The transcript is spliced from 3 exons.